This 7186-nucleotide long non-coding RNA is filed under the name Populus trichocarpa (black cottonwood). RNAcentral describes it as "long non-coding RNA (PTRI_LNC003398)". Lineage: Eukaryota; Viridiplantae; Streptophyta; Magnoliopsida; Malpighiales; Salicaceae. The record is from RNAcentral.
AUCUAUUGGGGUCAAGAUGGCAAUGAAGGCAGCUUAGCUGACACUUGCAACACAGGAAACUAUCAAUUUGUGAACGUAGCUUUCCUAUCUAGUUUCGGCAAUGGCCAAUCUCCAGUGCUGAACCUAGCAGGCCAUUGUGACCCCAGCGCCGGUACUUGCACCGGCAUAAGCAAUGACAUUAGAUCUUGUCAAAAUCAAGGAAUCAAAGUGCUGCUUUCCAUUGGAGGUGGUGCAGGCGGCUACUCCCUUUCAUCGGCCGACGAUGCAGGGCAAGUUGCAAACUAUAUCUGGAAUAACUUCCUUGGUGGUCAGUCCAGCUCACGUCCGCUAGGCGAUGCCAUCCUAGAUGGGGUUGAUUUUGACAUCGAGUCAGGUUCAGGCCAGUUCUGGGAUGAUCUUGCUAGGGCACUUAAUGGCUUUAGCCAACAAAGGAAGGUAUACUUAGCUGCAGCUCCACAAUGCAUCUUCCCUGAUGCUAAUCUAGACACUGCAAUCCAAACUGGCCUCUUUGAUUACGUGUGGGUUCAAUUCUAUAACAAUCCUUCAUGUCAAUACGUAAAUGAUGCUACCGGUCUCUUGAGUGCAUGGAACCAAUGGACCACAGUUCAAUCCAAUCAAAUAUUCCUGGGACUACCUGCUGCUCCCGAGGCAGCCCCUAGUGGUGGAUUCAUCCCUGCCGAUGUGCUCAUUUCUCAGGUCCUUCCAUCUAUCAAGGGUUCACCAAAGUAUGGAGGCGUGAUGCUCUGGAGCAAGCAGUAUGACAAUGGGUAUAGUGCAGCAAUAAAGGGCAGUGUCUAGAUUUUUUUCAGCCCUGCUCUUCCCCAUGCUGUGUGCUCCUGAUUCCUGAAUAUAUAUAUAUAUAUAUAUAUAUAUAUAUAUAUAUAUAUGCCACAGCAUGUUUGUUCUAAAGAGUGUUUGCGGCGAUCAAAAUAUUAUGUUUACUUAGAUUUCAAGCUAAAAGCUAAAUAAAACGAAAUUAUAGUUCCCUGACAAGGAAAAUAUAAUCAAUUUACCAGUGAAUUCCUUAUAGUGUUUUUUCUUUUUUUUUUCUUUUUCAUCAAGCUCAACAAAAAGUCUUGUGGUUGUGGAGUAACUUUAUGCUUCAAAAGGGGUGUCUAAAUUUUUCCACUCGAUCCAUGGAUGCAAAUCCCUUGAUAUAUUAAUUUGCUGACAUUUUCAAAGGCAAAAUGUGAAAGAAAGAAAAGUUGCCAAACAAAUAAUAUUGAAUCAAUGAGACUAAGGUUAACAGAAAUAAAAUCCGUUUUAAUGGAGGAUGAACAAGAAAUGGAAAUGUUAUAAUCAACUGGGGUACUGUCAUGCAUGACGGGAAAAAAUAGUAGUUCAUAUGCUUUUAGAAAAUUAUAUAUGUAUUAAAUUUUAUUAGUUAAUUACCAAAGCUUUAGUCAUUUCAACAAUAGUUUUAAUAUUUUUAGCUAUAAAAAUAGGUAAAAAUGGUUAAUUUUAAUUAACAAUGAAUUGUUUAAAACAAAAGACAUAUAUUCAUCCAAAAUUUAAUUUAUAUUUUUGAGAUAAAAAGAUGAAUCGUGAAUGUAUUCUCCUAUUUUUCUCAUAUAAUUAGUGAGUAAAUAAUAAACUUUAAAAAAUAAUUAUUAUCUUAUGUAAAUUUUAUACAUAGCUUAGUAUUUUUUUUUUCUUAUAUUAUAACUAUCCAUUGAUUAGCUUUUAAGAAAUAAAUUUAAUAUUUCUCUAAGUUGGUCUUCGAGACUGUGCAUAGGAAAUUAUAGUUUUAUAGCAUUAUUGAGAUUUUUUGAAAGAUUAACUUAGAUUUUUUCCAAAAAAUUAAAUUUGUUAGGUGUAUUUGUAAGGAAUUCACUUUUGUUUUCUAUUUGAUUGGAAUUUGGUAGGUUUAUUUUGUUGAUUGUGUUUGAAAUAUUCAAUACCUAACUAGUUCAAAAAAAUCAUACAUGUAGCCGCCCAAGUAAUCGAUCUGACUUAUAAAGCUGACUUGUUAUUAGAUAAUUUACAAAGCCAGAUAAACUUAAAAAAGUUAAAAUUAAAAAAAAUAUCUAAGUUAGCGUGUUUUUAAGAAGAUAAAAAAUAAAUUACAUAAAAACUCAUAUGAAGUGAACCGGUAAACUAUACAAGUUAAAAGAUAAUCUAAACAAUAGAAAAAAAAAACAUUAUUUAACUAAAAAUUUUAAUAUAAAAUUCAUGAUUCGGAUUAUGAGACUGUGGUAAUUUCAUGAAAAGAAAAUAAAAAAACAUAUUAAAACUCAAUUCUCAAUCAACUCAAUAUUGAAAAAUAAAUUAAAAAAAAUAAAAAAUAACAAAAAAACUCAAGUCAAUCAGAGUUAACAUGUCAAACAUAGAUCAUGAGAUCAAUAUAACCUAAUAGAAAACAAAACAAAACAAGUUAUGAAGCUCAUGAGACCAAUAUAACCUAAUAGAAAACAAAACAAAACAAGUUAUGAAGCUCAAUUCUCAAUCAGUCUAAUAUUGAAGGAUAAAAUUGAAAAAAAAUAACAAAAAAAUACACGAGUCAACUCCGUUUAACCCGUCAAACUCUUGAUUCAAAUCAUAAGACUAAGAUAACAUUAUAAAAAGCAAACCGAAAUAAAUUAUAAAAUUUAAUUCUUAAUCAACCCAAACAGUGAAUGAUAAAAUUAAAAAUAAAAAAAUUUAACUACAAAAAAUAACAAAAAAAACAGAGGCAACCAAGUUAACCUGCAAAACUAGUAACUUGGAUCGUGGAAUUAUGAUAACUUUAUAGAAAACAAAUCAAAAUAAAUUAUCAACCCCAAUAAAUCUAAUAUUAAAAAAUUUAAAAAAAAAGUGCUAAAAAGAGGGAAUCACUGCUUCCCUCCUCACAAAUUCCUGUUACAAUUAGUUUUUUUUAAAAAAAUUAAUAUGGGUGUCCGAACAAGUUUACACGUACCUCAACUAAUCUCAUAUAUCCUAAAAUUAACAAUCAUACAAGCAUAUAGUAUCCCUGUAAUAAUAUUACUUCAUUAUAGUUGUUAAACAUACAUGUCUACUCAUGUUCUAUGUUCUGGCCUUUUCUUUAAGUAGAGCAUGUUUGGUAUUGUGGUUGUUUUUGUGGUUGUGGUUUAAAAAAAGCAGUUUAAUAAAAAGUGCUUUUCGUGAGGUUUGUUUUAAAAUUUGAUGUGUUUAGUUAAAACUGCGGUUGAAAUUAUGGUUGAAAAAAAACAGUUUCUUGUGUUUGGUUAAUAUGCUUUUUGUAUGAUGUUUGAUUGUAAAAUUACCUAAAAGGACAUAUAUCUAUAUAUAUAUAAUGGCAAAACAUUAUUAUUUUAUAAUUAUGAUUACAUAAUCCUUGUACGUUAAUAAAAGUUUUUCAGUGUCCUAUCAAACUAUUUGAAAAAAAUAUAAUAAAAAAUAAUAUUAAUUAAAAUAAAAAUAAAAAUUAGAAUAAAAAAAUAAGUUAGUGAUAGUCCAGGUGACAUAAAUGAAUGUAAAAAAUAUAAAAAAAACACAAACAAGUUUGAGGUGUAAAAUAAGAAAUUCAAUUCUAAAGGUAUUCAAGCAUUUUUAAUGUUCAUGUAAAAAGAAAAUUACAACACAGCCUCUGCACAAACAAGUUUUUUUAAGAGAUUAUUUUAGUAAUACCACUAUUAAAAAAAAAGUAAAACAAAAACAUAUUACUUCAGUUACUUUUGACAAAUAGUCUUUCAUUUUAUUGAAAACUCGUAUUUUUGCUCCAUGGCAAAACAGCCCUCGGAAAGUUUGCAAUGUUAAUUAAAUUUAUACAGUGUUGGUGAGAGAGAGAGGAGAACACAACAACGAAAAGCAGAGCACAGCAACGAAAAGCAAUGGUAAGUUGCUUUUCACAAACUGAGGUUGGUCCUCAGUUUUUAAGUGGGGUCCACGUGAAAAAAAAUACGGUUAGCAUUAACCAAACAUUUUAAAACAACUUUUAAUUUUAACCGCAGCCACAACAGCAGAUCCAAACACCCUCUAGUGAUCCAUCAUCUCGUUUACACUCAGUGACGUUUGAACUUCAAUCUUAUCCGGCUAACACCUAAAUGCUCCUUGACUCAGCUAAGUUGCCUACCUGCCACGUGCUUUGUUUUUUAUUUUCUAAGUUAAUUGAUGAUUUUCUAGCAUAAUUGAAGUCAAUGGUUAACUUGGUGUGUUGACUCAGUUAAGAUACGAUGUUUUAGUUAAAAAAAAAGACCUUCAAAUAUUGUCAUUUUAAAUUUAUUCAAGUUAAUUAGAAUUAAUUUGUUGAAACUUUAAACUAAAUCUUGGAUCGGGACAUUACUAAGAUGGGUUUAUGUAGUGAGGGAAUGUUAUAGUUUUUUAAAGUGUUUUUUAUUUAUAAAAAUAUUAAAAUAAUAAUUUUUUAUUUUUAAAAUUUAUUUUUAAUACCAACACAUUAAAAUUAUUUAAAAUUAAAAAAAUUAAAUAAAUUUAAAAUUAAAAAAUUAAAAAAUCUUUUUAAAGGCGCACAAACAGUCUCUUGAUAUUAAAUUUGUACUAAACAAUGCUCAAAUUAAAGAGAGAGAAAAGAGUUUAACGCAUAACCACUGUAAAAUGUGAAAGGAGUUGUUUUAUUGUUUUUAUUAGUGCUGCUUAAUUAACUUCAUCGAAGUUUUAACAUUUUUCACUUGGCUAGCAUCUGUCUCUGGGCAUGACAACUAGAAUAAUUAAUAAAGUAACAGUCAAACUAUAAGUUAGUCACUAAUUUUUUAAGAAAAUAAUUAAUUGGUCUCUUUAGGGGUACUUGAUAUAGAGUUUCAACUUGUUUUUUAUUAUUAUUAUUAUUAUUAUUAUUAAAAUUUAAUAUUUUUUUCUUCAAAUUAAUUUUUUUUAUUUUUUUUAAAUUAUUUUUAUGGGCUAAUUUUAAAAAUGAAUUUUAAAAAAAUUAAAAAAAUAUUAUUUUAAUACAUUUUCAAAUAAAAAAUAUUUAAAAAACAAUUAUUAUUAUUCUUCCAAACACUCUUGUUUCGAAAAUCAUUCAUUAAUCUCUUGGCAUUUUUUCAUCAUUAACUUAUAAACAAUAAAUACAUUUUUUUUCAAUUAAAAACAAAAAAUGACAACAAAAUAAUUCAAUUAAAAACAAAAAAAACAUUUUAUUGGCAUGUAAGCGUGUAUUGGAUAUUAUAAGAGUGUUACAUCUUGCACGUAUUUAUUCAAGUUACAAGUUCCUUGACAAUUGAUUUAUAUAAAGUAAGUCUUUUGGUGAUUUUAUUUUGUAUGAGUCGGAAAAGUUAGAUAUGUGAUUAUUUAAAUUUGGAGAGGACUAAAUUAAAAUUUAAUUAUGAAGUGAGAAGUGAUGAGCAAGGGGGUCAGUAAAAUGGCUUAAUCUUUUUUAUUUUCACUAAGAAUUUUUUUAAAUACAACAAUAUGUCAAAAAAAUUAUAUAACAUGCGGAGAAAAAAGAAUAUCUAACAUGCGGAGAAGCGUGGGUUAAGUACCUAGUCAUUGUCUAAAACUGUAACUUCUCUGGGUGAAAAAUAAUAAAUUGACUAGUCUUAUGCAAAAUAAAAAAAAAUUUAUAACUCUCAAUCGGGUUAAUUUCAUCCUUGAAAUUUAAAUUCAUACCUAUGUAAGAAAAUAAUCUGGGAUAUUUCUUCUUCAUUUCUGACUCUCUCUCCUAGGUUUCUUCUUCUAUUUGAGAGUUUCUCCACAAUACAUUUACUAACGACACCUUUUUAUUUUGUAAUUCCUUUAUACUUCGGUCCAUAAUUUACACAGGUUGUACCUCCAUAGUUAAAUCUUCUUGUACUUCCAUCGGAAUUUAUGGCAAAAUUCGUGCAGGAUCCAAGUUUGCUUUCCGCAGCAUCGAAACAUGAAACACAUUGUGUAUCCUAUCUAAAUGUGGUGGCAAUAAUAUUUGAUAGGCAACCGUCCCAAUUCUUUCUAUAAUUUUAUAUGCCUCAAUAUACCUAGGUGCUAAUUUGUCUUUCAUUCUAAACUGAAUCACAUGCUUCCAUGGAACAAUUUUUAAAAAUACCAUGAAUGAGAUGUGAUCCAAGAUGAUUGGAUCAAGAUGAAAGUUGUAAUGACAUAUAAUAUAAGUGUUGUUGAUAAUUUGGUACCAACAAAAAUAGAGAAAAUUUUGUCGAAAUUUUCAAAAAAAUAAAUUUCAUAAUCUUAGAUAUAUUAUUCAAUACUUGACAUUAGUAAAUAAAUGUUUGAGAUUUCAUGACAUUAUAAUUUGAGGAAGUUACAAAAAAAAAACUUAUUCUAAGUUAAAUUUCAAAUUAGUAAGUUAUUUGGUAAACUAGUUAGGUUGUAAUGGGUUAAAGUUGUAUUUCUAAGUGUAGUAGCGAUUCUUUUUCAAAGUGUUUUUUACUUGGAAAUACAUGAAAAUAAUAUUAUUUUUUUUUUUUAAAAAUAUUUUUAAUAUUAACAUAUUAAAACAAUCCAAAAUAUUAUAAAAUUUAAUUUUAAAUAAAAAAAAUUAAAAAAUUAUAAAACACGGCUUCAACCGCGAAAUAAAUCAGCACUUCUAGCUAUGAAAUUAUUUCAUAGCCUGCUUUUGAUGGAAUCGCCAAAGUGGAAACCAAUUUCAGACUGCUAAAAAAACAGUCCCUAAUUCCCCUUUGAUUCCAGGAAACUCACUGAGGGACUUAAAUGGUAUCUGCCAAACCGUCCUGGUCCGACUAUUUGUAAAUAGAGAAGACCAGUAUAAUCUUUAAUAACCAUGGCACUUUUUUCUUGUCUACAUUAUUUUUAUGCAGAAUUCUUCUAUACUUUCAAUGAGAACGGCACCAAUUUCUUGCCCACAAACCACGGUAAUCAGACUUUUCUACUAAGACACCUAGACACGCAUGGUCCUCAGAAGCUAUAAAUAUGUUCCGUCUCCACAUUGUUGAUACACAGAACAAGCUUGAGAUCCAAAAUGGCUUGCCAAGCAAAAGCUAUCACCCUUCUUCUAUCCAUCUUAGCUGUCUCCUUAUGCAAACCCUCAGAUGGUGCAGGCAUCGCCAUCUAUUGGGGUCAAAAUGGCAAUGAAGGCAGCUUAGCUGAUACUUGUAACACAGGAAACUAUCAAUUUGUGAACGUAGCUUUCCUAUCUAGUUUCGGCAAUGGCCAAUCUCCAGUGCUGAACCUAGCAGGCCAUUGUGACCCCAGCGCCGGUACUUGCACCGGCAUAAGCAAUGACAUUAGAUCUUGUCAAAAUCAAGGAAUCAAGGUGCUGCUUUCCAUUGGAGGUGGCGCAGGCAGCUACUCCCUUUCAUCGGCCGACGAUGCAGGG